Molecule: ribosomal RNA, 429 nt
Filed under: Bacillota bacterium
Lineage: Bacteria; Bacillati; Bacillota
Description: Firmicutes bacterium partial 16S ribosomal RNA
Rfam family: Bacterial small subunit ribosomal RNA
Source: RNAcentral
UAGGGAAUCUUCGGCAAUGGACGGAAGUCUGACCGAGCAACGCCGCGUGAAUGAAGAAGGUUUUCGGAUCGUAAAGCUCUGUUGUUAGAGAAGAACGUUGGUAGGAGUGGAAAAUCUACCAAGUGACGGUAACUAACCAGAAAGGGACGGCUAACUACGUGCCAUCAGCCGCGGUAAUACGUAGGUCCCGAGCGUUGUCCGGAUUUAUUGGGCGUAAAGCGAGCGCAGGCGGUUCUUUAAGUCUGAAGUUAAAGGCAGUGGCUUAACCAUUGUACGCUGUGGAAACUGGAGGACGUGAGUGCAGAAGGGUAGAGUGGAAUUCCAAUUGUAGCGGAGAAAUGCGUAGAUAUAUGGAGGAACACCGGUGGCGGAAGCGGCUCUCUGGUCUGUAACUGACGCUGAGGCUCGAAAGCGUGGGGAGCAAACAGG